This 419-nucleotide ribosomal RNA is filed under the name uncultured Bacteroidota bacterium. RNAcentral describes it as "bacterial SSU rRNA". It matches the Rfam family "Bacterial small subunit ribosomal RNA", at positions 608 to 1029 of the family's 1533-position model. Lineage: Bacteria; Pseudomonadati; Bacteroidota. The record is from RNAcentral.
CUUAACCGCAGAAGUGCCUUUGAAACUGUUGCUCUUGAGUCCUGGAGAGGUUGCCGGAAUUCGUGGUGUAGCGGUGAAAUGCGUAGAUAUCACGAGGAACACCAGAGGCGAAAGCGGGCAACUGGACAGGUACUGACGCUGAGGCAUGAGAGCGUGGGGAGCAAACAGGAUUAGAUACCCUGGUAGUCCGCGCCGUAAACGAUGGAUGCUCGCCGUUGUCUCGUUAAGGGACAGUGGCUAAGUUAACGCGUUAAGCAUCCCGCCUGGGGAGUACGAUCGCAAGGUUGAAACUCAAAGGAAUUGACGGGGGCCCGCACAAGCGGUGGAGCAUGUGGCUCAAUUCGAUGCAACGCGAAGAACCUUACCUAGGCUCGAACGCUAAGUGCCCGCUCCUGAAAGGGAGCUUUCCGCAAGGACGC